RNAcentral lists this ribosomal RNA (739 nucleotides) under uncultured archaeon. RNAcentral describes it as "bacterial SSU rRNA". It matches the Rfam family "Archaeal small subunit ribosomal RNA", at positions 325 to 1069 of the family's 1478-position model. The record is from RNAcentral.
ACGGGGUGCAGCAGGCGCGAAACCUCUGCAAUGCACGAAAGUGUGACAGGGGGAUUCCACGUGCAAGCUUUGCUUGCUUUUCUCAAGUCCAAAACGCUUGGGGAAUAAGAGCUGGGCAAGACCCGUGCCAGCCGCCGCGGUAACACGGGCAGCUCGAGUAGCGUUCGCGUAUAUUGGGCCUAAAGCGUACGUAGCCGGUUAAACAAGUUCCUGGUGAAAGCAUGCGGCUUAAUCGUGUGAAUUGCCAGGAAAACUGUUUGACUUGGGACCGGGAUGGGUCGGAGGUAUUCCCGGGGUAGGGGUAAAAUCCUGUAAUCCCGGGAGGACCAUCGGUGGCGAAGGCGUCCGACUGGAACGGGUCCGACGGUGAGGUACGAAAGCUAGGGGAGCAACCCGGAUUAGAUACCCGGUUAGUCCUAGCCGUAAAUGAUGCGUGUUUGGUAUUGCCCUCCUUACGAGGGAUGGCAGUGCCGUAGGGAAGCCGUUAAACACGCCGCCUGGGGAGUACGGCCGCAAGGCUGAAACUUAAAGGAAUUGGCGGGGGAGUACUACAACGGGUGGAGGCUGCGGUUUAAUUGGAUACAACGCCGGACAACUCACCAGGGAUGACAGCACUAUGAUGGUCAGCCUAAAGGGCUUACUUGAGGCGCUGAGAAGUGGUGCAUGGCCAUCGCCAGCUCGUGCAGUGAUGUGUCCUGUUAAGUCAGGCAACGAGCGAGACCCGCACCUCCAGUUGCUA